This 497-nucleotide ribosomal RNA is filed under the name uncultured bacterium. RNAcentral describes it as "partial 16S ribosomal RNA". It matches the Rfam family "Bacterial small subunit ribosomal RNA", at positions 28 to 507 of the family's 1533-position model. The record is from RNAcentral.
GAUGAACGCUGGCGGCGUGCCUAAUACAUGCAAGUCGAGCGAACAGACGAGGAGCUUGCUCCUCUGACGUUAGCGGCGGACGGGUGAGUAACACGUGGAUAACCUACCUAUAAGACUGGGAUAACUUCGGGAAACCGGAGCUAAUACCGGAUAAUAUAUUGAACCGCAUGGUUCAAUAGUGAAAGACGGUUUUGCUGUCACUUAUAGAUGGAUCCGCGCCGCAUUAGCUAGUUGGUAAGGUAACGGCUUACCAAGGCAACGAUGCGUAGCCGACCUGAGAGGGUGAUCGGCCACACUGGAACUGAGACACGGACGAGACUCCGACGGGAGGCAGCAGUAGGGAAUCGUCCGCAAUGGGAGAAAGCCUGACGGAGCAACGCCGCGUGAGUGAUGAAGGUCUUCGGAUCGUAAAACUCUGUUAUUAGGGAAGAACAAAGGUGUAAGUAACUAUGCACGUCUGGACGGUACCUAAUCAGAGAGCCACGGCUAACUACGUG